This is a long non-coding RNA of Pogona vitticeps (central bearded dragon), 513 nucleotides long. RefSeq lists it as uncharacterized. The record is from RefSeq and is a predicted model, not a curated record. NCBI's taxonomy places the organism in Eukaryota, Metazoa, Chordata, Lepidosauria, Squamata, Agamidae.
ACCUACCUACCUACCUACCUAUGUCCCAGUCACCCCCCUCUAUACAGUAUUUAAUUUGAGCUUUCAUGGGUUAAGCCCACUUGAGAGAACAGGACAAAUAUUUAUACCUGGCAUCAAAACACAGAGACCGUUAUCCCUGCGCAAGGUGUAUGCCUGUGGCUUGGCCUGCAUGGAUAUCCUGCAAUUCGUGCAUUCCCGUGUCCAUCCAUGGACAGGAUCCUGAGUCGGAAAGCCGAGUUGGAAAACAUGCCUGGUUAUGCUUACAAAGUCCCAGAUUCCUCCAGCCUGUUAGAUAUUAUGACAUUCAAGAUGAGAAUGGUCAAAAUCUGGGAGCUCCGAGUCCAGGAAAAGAAACGUUGUCGGCCUCUGGACGAAACAGGUCUCUUCUUACAAGCUGAAAACAGGCUGUCUGACUGCACAACCGGAUGUGCUAAUUUACAGCCACCCGUGCUGGUGGGACGCUAUGCAAGGAUUGUGAUCUUUCUGAAAAUAAAUGGCGCUUUUGUACAUUGA